AGAGUUUGAUUCUGGCUCAGAAUGAACGCUGGCGGCGUGCCUAACACAUGCAAGUCGCACGAGAAAGGCUGGGUUUCGGCUUGGCCGAGUAAAGUGGCGCACGGGUGAGUAACGCGUGGGUGACCUACCCUCGAAUCUGGGAUAACCUCGCGAAAGCGGGGCUAAUACCGGAUACGUCCCUUCGGGGAGAAAGCCGGCCUCUCGAAGAAGCUGGUGUUCGGGGAUGGGCCCGCGUCCUAUCAGCUAGUUGGUAGGGUAACGGCCUACCAAGGCGACGACGGGUAGCUGGUCUGAGAGGAUGAUCAGCCACACUGGCACUGGAACACGGGCCAGACUCCUACGGGAGGCAGCAGUGAGGAAUUUUGCGCAAUGGGAGCAAUCCUGACGCAGCAACGCCGCGUGGGUGAAGAAGGCCUUCGGGUCGUAAAGCCCUGUCAGGAGGGAAGAACCUCGCUGGGGCGAAUAGCCUUGGCGACUGACGGUACCUCCAGAGGAAGCACCGGCUAACUCCGUGCCAGCAGCCGCGGUAAUACGGAGGGUGCGAGCGUUAUUCGGAAUUACUGGGCGUAAAGCGCGUGUAGGCGGCAGGGCAAGUCUGGUGUGAAAGCCCGGGGCUCAACCCCGGAAGUGCAUUGGAAACUGCUCUGCUUGAGUACCGGAGAGGAAGGGGGAAUUCCCGGUGUAGCGGUGAAAUGCGUAUAUAUCGGGAGGAAUACCAGUGGCGAAGGCGCCCUUCUGGACGGUUACUGACGCUGAGACCCGAAAGCGUGGGGAGCAAACAGGAUUAGAUACCCUGGUAGUCCACGCCGUUAACGAUGGGCACCUAGUGUAGCGGGUAU
This 839-nucleotide ribosomal RNA is filed under the name bacterium enrichment culture clone Dan60S_32E. Its description in RNAcentral is "bacterial SSU rRNA". It matches the Rfam family "Bacterial small subunit ribosomal RNA", at positions 8 to 832 of the family's 1533-position model. The record is from RNAcentral.